UAUCCUUGAAGAAAUCAGCGAACAGUUCCACCGCUGAAAGAAGCCGUUCAGACAACGUUGACGACCCCCAAAGUCGGUCUAUACUAAAUUUGCUGUGGAAAAUCUUCAGCGCCCCGUGAGGGGGAAUCUCAGAAAUACAGGAAAGAUCAAUGUCAGAUACAAAAACAGGCAGCGUAAAGUGGUUUAACGAAUCCAAAGGGUUCGGCUUCAUUGCUCAGGACGGCGGCGAUGACGUCUUUGUGCACUACAGUGCCAUCAACUCUGGCGGGUUCCGUACCCUGACCGAAGGUCAGCAAGUACAGUUCACCGUCACACAGGGCCCAAAAGGCCCACAGGCGGAAAACGUAACACCCGUUUAACCUUUGCCCCUCACGGGCAUGGAAGAAUGCAACAAGCCGGCACCUGUGCCGGCUUGUUGCA
This 420-nucleotide small RNA is filed under the name Marinobacter sp. AC-23. RNAcentral's name for it is "cspA thermoregulator". It matches the Rfam family "cspA thermoregulator", at positions 91 to 428 of the family's 428-position model. The record is from Rfam by way of RNAcentral. Lineage: Bacteria; Pseudomonadati; Pseudomonadota; Gammaproteobacteria; Pseudomonadales; Marinobacteraceae.